UAGGGAAUCUUCGGCAAUGGACGAAAGUCUGACCGAGCAACGCCGCGUGAGUGAAGAAGGUUUUCGGAUCGUAAAACUCUGUUGUUAGAGAAGAACAAGGAUGAGAGUAACUGUUCAUCCCUUGACGGUAUCUAACCAGAAAGCCACGGCUAACUACGUGCCAGCAGCCGCGGUAAUACGUAGGUGGCAAGCGUUGUCCGGAUUUAUUGGGGGUAAAGCGAGCGCAGGCGGUUUCUUAAGUCUGAUGUGAAAGCCCCCGGCUCAACCGGGGAGGGUCAUUGGAGACUGGGGGACUUGAGUGCAGAAGAGGAGAGUGGAAUUCCAUGUGGAGCGGUGAAAUGCGUAGAUAUAUGGAGGAACACCAGUGGCGAAGGCGGCUCUCUGGUCUGUAACUGACGCUGAGGCUCGAAAGCGUGGGGAGCAAACA
This 427-nucleotide ribosomal RNA is filed under the name uncultured bacterium. RNAcentral describes it as "bacterial SSU rRNA". It matches the Rfam family "Bacterial small subunit ribosomal RNA", at positions 355 to 774 of the family's 1533-position model. The record is from RNAcentral.